This 425-nucleotide ribosomal RNA is filed under the name uncultured bacterium. RNAcentral describes it as "partial 16S ribosomal RNA". It matches the Rfam family "Bacterial small subunit ribosomal RNA", at positions 354 to 796 of the family's 1533-position model. The record is from RNAcentral.
GUGGGGAAUAUUGGACAAUGGGCGCAAGCCUGAUCCAGCCAUGCCGCGUGAGUGAUGAAGGCCCUAGGGUUGUAAAGCUCUUUCACCGAUGAAGAUAAUGACGGUAGUCGGAGAAGAAGCCCCGGCUAACUUCGUGCCAGCAGUCGCGGUAAUACGAAGGGGGCUAGCGUUGUUCGGAAUUACUGGGCGUAAAGCGCACGUAGGCGGAUAUUUAAGUCAGGGGUGAAAUCCCAGAGCUCAACUCUGGAACUGCCUUUGAUACUGGGUAUCUCGAGUAUGGAAGAGGUGAGUGGAAUUCCGAGUGUAGAGGUGAAAUUCGUAGAUAUUCGGAGGAACACCAGUGGCGAAGGCGGCUCACUGGUCCAUUACUGACGCUGAGGUGCGAAAGCGUGGGGAGCAAACAGGAUUAGAAACCCGGGUAGUCC